RNAcentral lists this ribosomal RNA (164 nucleotides) under uncultured bacterium. Its description in RNAcentral is "partial 16S rRNA". It matches the Rfam family "Bacterial small subunit ribosomal RNA", at positions 355 to 510 of the family's 1533-position model. The record is from RNAcentral.
UAGGGAAUCUUCGGCAAUGGACGAAAGUCUGACCGAGCAACGCCGCGUGAGUGAAGAAGGUUUUCGGAUCGUAAAACUCUGUUGGUAGAGAAGAACGUUGGUGAGAGUGGAAAGCUCAUCAAGUGACGGUAACUACCCAGAAAGGGACGGCUAACUACGUGCAA